GCACUUCCCGCCCAGGUCCCCGCCUCCCUACCUGGCUGCCAAUGGGAGCCCAAUUUAAAACUGGCGCCCAGUUACGUAGUUAACGGUCUUGUUCUCCCAAAACACACACACAAAAAAAACGGUCUUGUUCUCAACAAGGAAGGAGAAGGAGGAAAAGACAGGCUGCCUAAAACGUUAUUUUCAGCAUUUAGAUACCACAAUGGCAUUUGCCAUUUACUAUUUCAAGGACAAAACUGUGGAAGUUGGGAAGAUUUCAUGGAUGAGUACUGACGACCAGCGACAAUGUCCCAAAUUAAUCACCCAGUGCCCGAAUCUAGAAGAUGACAAUGGAUGGAUGGAGAUAAAGUGGGACAUUAAAGGCAGAAAAAAGUCAGACUGUCCAGCCUUUUUCCCAGCAAAGGUUUUAAUGUUUGGUGACAAUACAGUGAUCUCUGCAAGAAGAGACAGGAAUUCAUAAGGGGUGAAGACAUCUGGCAAGACGCACCCAAGAGGAAGAGUAAGCCGAACAGCAAGUGGAAAGAUGUGGAAGAGGAGGAUCAUGAAGUUCCACCAAAAAAGAAGAGAAAAAGAGCAACCUGUGCAGAAAAAGAGUCAGCAAACCAAAUGGUUGAAGAGCUGAAGAAGCAGCUGGCAAACAAAGCAUCUUCAGAGUUAAGUAACUCAAAUGAGGAGUCAUCAGAUGAGGAGCAGAUGCCCAGAAACUGGAGUGUGGCACAGCAGAAAAUGAAAGAGCUUCAGAGAGAAAUCAAGACCCUGAAAGAAGGCCAUGUGAAAGAGAUGCUAGAUGCCAUGAGAGAGCUUCCAGCAGUAGUGACACAGCUGAAAGAUGUCUUCGAAAAAAUCACAGUUCAGAUCUCAACUCCUGCAUCCACCUGGUCAACAUCCACACCAUCUGUAGACCCACCUUCUGCACCCAGCUCUCCUGAAGUGUUGUCUGAUCCUGAUGAUAUGAUAAAUACCUCAAAAUGCAUGGAUACUGUAUGUUAUGUUAUUUAUCCAUUUGGGGAAAGGUUUGCUAUGCAAUUUCCAUCUACAUCUUUUGAUUGUACACAUGAGCUAGAAAGAAAGCAUAUUCAUCAACUUUGUGCUGGACAUAUACCUUUGAUGAUGGAUUAG
RNAcentral lists this long non-coding RNA (1116 nucleotides) under Sparus aurata (gilthead seabream). RNAcentral's name for it is "lncRNA (ENSSAUG00010004013.1)". Lineage: Eukaryota; Metazoa; Chordata; Actinopteri; Spariformes; Sparidae. The record is from RNAcentral.